Molecule: long non-coding RNA, 307 nt
Organism: Chenopodium quinoa (quinoa)
Lineage: Eukaryota; Viridiplantae; Streptophyta; Magnoliopsida; Caryophyllales; Amaranthaceae
Exons: 3
Source: RefSeq, a predicted model, not a curated record
UAGAGCUGCAGUACUGUCAAGAAUCAAAUGCAACACGAACAACAAAGAAGAGAUCUACUCUUGUGAGUCGACAUAUUGAGUCAAGGGUGUUCGUGAAUUAGAGAAGUAGUUGUGAAUCGCUUCAAGGUUGAUCAAGGUGAAUAUUUCAGGUGGAAAUUGAUUGAUGCAUACGGGAGUCCACGGGAAUUUCACCUAGCUAGGAAAAGUUUGAGUCAUUUUUGUGUCACGAAUUAUGAACGAAUAUUUACUAUGGUUUAUUUAAUAAAGAAUAAAGUUUUCCGCUGCAAAAGUAUUUUUGUAUAAGCCU